This 253-nucleotide ribosomal RNA is filed under the name uncultured bacterium. RNAcentral's name for it is "partial 16S ribosomal RNA". It matches the Rfam family "Bacterial small subunit ribosomal RNA", at positions 524 to 776 of the family's 1533-position model. The record is from RNAcentral.
UACGUAGGGUGCAAGCGUUGUCCGGAAUUAUUGGGCGUAAAGAGCUCGUAGGCGGUCUGUCGCGUCGAAUGUGAAAACCCGGGGCUCAACCCCGGGCCUGCAUUCGAUACGGGCAGACUAGAGUUCGGUAGGGGAGUCUGGAAUUCCUGGUGUAGCGGUGAAAUGCGCAGAUAUCAGGAGGAACACCGGUGGCGAAGGCGGGACGCUGGGCCGAUACUGACGCUGAGGAGCGAAAGCGUGGGGAGCGAACAGG